Molecule: long non-coding RNA, 5503 nt
Organism: Folsomia candida
Lineage: Eukaryota; Metazoa; Arthropoda; Collembola; Entomobryomorpha; Isotomidae
Exons: 3
Source: RefSeq, a predicted model, not a curated record
UCUCCUUUGAAGGAUCAUGCCGUCCUCCAUUAAUAAUAUUUCCCGUGCGCAUUUAUUUCGCAUUACGAUUCCAACCUCUCUCUAGUUAAGUGAAAAAUAGCUUAUAGCUAAAUUUACACGACAGAAAUAUUGCAUUGCAUGGAAAAUAAUGUUACUAAGUGCUUCGAACCGUCAAAUAAGGACACGAUGUGUCUCUUCUUUGAAAAAUUGGAGCAGAAAUGUGGAGAAAAUUCUACACUUUAUACGAAAAUGCACAAUUUCUAAUUACAUAAUUGUGUCAUCUCUUCAUACCGACCUAAAUUCCAGGACCUGAGACGAACAAAAAUUCAAUGUAAAACUUCGCAACGAUUUUAGUCCCAUGAGGUAAACCUUCACACGUACUCCUUAGCCAUCUUUUACAAUGGGAAUUUGUACCUGAUCUGUAACCAGUAGACUGCAAAAUGUGAAUGUGCCAAACUCACCACACGUCAUAACUAAUCUACACCAUUAUCAAAUAUCUGUUGCAACAAGUAAUCUAUUAUUUUCUCUUUAAACUAUGCAGGUUAUUAUUGCCAGCGUGCAAAUAUUUGCGAACAUAAGUAUUUAUUUAUGUAUGUCAUGUAUGUGUAUGAUAUUUAUUUCUUUGUCUUAAAUAGCACCUAACAACUAUGUAACUCAACUACUCCAAAUUUUAAUUGUGACAAUAUUUCUAAGAUAUCGCCAGUUUUCUUUAUACGAUAUACCGUAAAACCUCUAUUUAUAGCCCUAUUCUAACUCUAGCCGGUCUCCAAAUAUAUCCGGGUCGGGAGACCAAGAUUUCAAAAUUAUAGCCGAGUCUCAAAUUAUGGCCUGUAUUGUUCGCUGUGUCUCCGUCCAUAGCCCAUUCAAGAAAAAUACUGCCCAUUAUGCUAAUCAACGAAUACGUUGAACUGGCUUGUCACAUAUUUUUCUCCCUUCGACAAAAGUAGUGCAUGCAUAAGUUUGAAGGAUAUUAGAUGGUCUAACUGUCCAGAUUGAUAGUUUAAGGCACUUUUCACAAGCGUUUAAUGUCUUGAGGAAGGGAUGAGAACUGAGGAGAGCCCUUACUCGUUCUAUAUGUAUGUAUGUAAGGGCCUCGAUAAUUUUAAAAUGAACUAUUUAGAACAAAUGUUAAUUGCACGCGGAAUGUUUUGUUUUAAUUAUCAGUGUCAGAGUGUGAAUCAUGCAUUAUGCUUGGGAAAGCGCAAGGCGAAAAAUGCUUGGAGAAGUUCGUGGAAUUGUAUUUCAUGUAAUUGUGUUGUUGUCCAUCUUGGAGGAAAACGCUACCAGCUCAAAAAGAAGUUGUGAAUGUUGAAUGAUUCUGAUUGUGAGGACUGGAACGGUUUGGGCGAAAGUAAGAAACAUGAUUUAUUUUAUUAGAAAGGAGAAACGAACAAACGAACAAACAAACGAACAAAACAAGACUUUGAGCUUCUCUUCAAAGUGCAGUUUCUCCAGGGAAGCUGCACUUUUCCCAAAGGCAGUCCUCCUUUCCAUCCCAGAACUCUCUUUUCUACAAAUCAAGGCGAAAAUUGUAUUUCGCACUUCUUUACUACAUACAUAUAGAAAAAGCAGAAACCCCAAAAUAAGGUGAUUGCAUACCUACCGUCCAUUUAGUGACUAGUUCAAUAUGAUAACCCCUACAAGUGAAACCGUAAUCUGGCGAGGAUAGACUUCAAUGCAACAAUAGUUUUUUAAAUGGGUGUGAUAUUUUAAUGUUCACUUAUUUUCAUAUACUUUAUUUUGGAAAGCUGGAAAAGUUAUACUGUCUGACGUUAUGACGGGAAGACUUUAUUUCACAACGAAAGUCUGGUGGUUACAAAACUGGGCUCUCAUAGUGAUAGUGAGAAUGAAAAAUAGAGGGAGUUGCAGUAAUUUUCACAACCUCAGCAUAUUUUUAGAGAACUUAUGUAUGAGAGCCAGAACUUUCUGAAUAGGCACGAACCUCGAUAAUUGUUAGACUUAACCAACAAUGCAACUGCCACUGAAUUAUGAUUUCUGUUUGAACUGAAUAAUGUUACGUAGCGAAUCCCGUCUGUAGCCUUACAUAAACCGUGUGUUGACAGAGAAUCUAUUAACACCGAAUACAUUGUAUAUUAUUCAGCGGCAUACUAAAUUACUUCGUGGUGUAAUAAUUUGGUCCAUUUUUGGAAUUGAUUUCUGGUAAAUUAAAAUCUUUUACAGCAUGAAACUAAGCAUGGCGAAAUGUUUUUCAUGCGGAUGAGACACCUACCUAAAUAUAUAUUCGUAUUGAAUAAUCGCAGUUCUUUCACUUUCCAUGAAGAUCGAUAUAAUCAAUCAGUUCAAGUGUAAAAUUGAGAUAUGAUGUGGCAAAACCAAAUUGGGUAUUAAUUUGGGAAUUGCGAUGAGUAUUAAUAUGUAACAAGAUAUAGAAUCUUCAAAGCACUUCCACUAUUCCCUGCAAAAAGAGGUCAACAAAUCUAUCAUGGGUAUGUAACUCCCGAUAUUUGUUACAAUAUCGCUAGUUUAAUUAUUACCCCCUUUGGAUUUUGAUCGUCGCAAUUUUUGUGAGUGACGACGAAUAUUCAUGGAGCGGGGAGUUUUUGGUAUUAGAGGAGAGGCUAGCACCGUAAUUUGAUCUGUGACCGGAACAGAGAACGUAAUCCAGUCCAACGCCGGAUAGCGUGAAGGUUAGAGCGCAAUAUAGGUUUACGAGGAGGUAACGCCCUUUCUAAAAUUGUGGAAUCAUCUAUAAGGGGAUGAAGAUAAAAAAUUUGAACCUUUGAGUGGGAAGGUCCCGCCGGAGCCUUAAGCGGUUAGGGUAAUUUCUCGGGGCUAUUCUCAAACUCGGAAUCAGAGUGAGGAGGAGAAUACUUUAUCUCGAGGAUUUUUAGUUUCCGUGGCCUCCUACUCAUGAAGAAGUGAGUAUAGAGAGGUAAAAAAUUUCACAUACGCCUUAAGAAGGACGAGUAGCUAAUAUGAGAAUAAUUAAGAGCAACCACAUCACAAAAAUCGGGAAAUACAUACAAUUCUCCUGACACGUGAGAUACUGAGGGCAGUAAGUGGUGGCAUCAGUUUUGGCCGUCUGUCUGUCAAAGUUAGUACGUGGACGGGUAUCUACAUUAUAAGCUGGAUAGGUCUGUUGGCAAGGGAAGUGAAAAUAAUUUGUCCGCAACGGAAGUGAAAGUGGAGAAAGUCGAGUUUCAAAUAGCGCGAAAAUUCAAAUUAAAUGUUUAAUUAAAAAAAUAAAUCCCCGGAGAUAACCACCUCCUGACAACCACCCACAGAUAACCACCUCCUGACAACCACCCACAGAUAACCACCUCCUGACAACCACCCACAGAUAACCACCUCCUGACAACCACCCACAGAUAACCACCACCUGACAACCACCCACAGAUAACCACCUCCUGACAACCACCCACAGAUAACCACCUCCUGACAACCACCCACAGAUAACCACCUCCUGACAACCACCCACAGAUAACCACCUCCUGACAACCACCCACACCACCUCCUGACAACGACAACGACCCCCAGGUAACCACCUCCGGACAACCACCCCUGACAACCACCCCUAAAUUACCACCCAGGUAACCACCUCCGGACAACCACCCCUGACAACCACCCCUAAAUUACCACCCAGGUAACCACCUCCGGACAACCACCCCUGACAACCACCCCUAAAUUACCACCCAGGUAACCACCUCCGGACAACCACCCCUGACAACCACCCCUAAAUUACCACCCAAGAUAACCACCACUCAAAACUACCAUAUUGGGUGAGGUCUAUUUGGUUCGAAUUGAUAUAUACUGAUAUGCGAGACAGACCUUCCGUUUGAUUAUUUUAGAUCGCAGAGACAACAUCGAUACUGUGCUGUGCUGUGCGCACAGCACGGAGUCGACGAGUUGUGUGUCCCAUCGGGACCGGCAUUUAUAAUUCCACCCCAACAACUUAUCUGCAGUUGGUUGUCUGAUAGUGGUUAUCUAGGAAUGGUUGUCUGACGAUGGUUCUUUAGGGAUGAUUAUCCUGAUUGUUUAUCUAAUAAUAGUUAUAUUGGUUAUCUUGGCUUGUGUACCUAGAAGUAAAGUUGAAGUCAAAUUCAAGUCACAAGUUUUGCUUCCAUUGCGAAACAGUUAUUUUAACUGCCUUGCCAACAAACAUUUCCAGCUAAUAAUAUAUAUACAAUAAAAAAAAAUUAAUUCGGUGGAAGUGUGAACAAUCCCACUCAAUUUUCAUGAAAAUGAAUUAAUCACUCGCCCGGCGGGAGACGGGCUUAUAAGCUAGUGUCUAAUAUGUGGACGGGAUCUCUUCUGAGUAGGAGAAGGAUUAUUUCUACAACGAGGCAUAGUCAUUUAACGUUCAGCUAAUGUACUUGCUUCAGCUGAGCAAACUUGGCAAACUGUAUAAAUCUAUGCAGCGUACCAAAGAUUAACUCUUGGGGAAAAUUUGUUGAAACAUCUAAAACACUAGGCAGUAUAGGCACAUGGGAUAGAGAAAGAGAGAAGCUCUGCUCACUCACGAGAUACGUAUCUUGUGUUCUUAUCAUUCAGCUUGUUUGACAUUGGAAGACAUUUUUUUCUGAUGCUUUACUAUUAAAUUUGAUUUUCAUCUCUCCACAGUUGUCCAGGUUUCCCAAGAAGCAUGUUUCUUGGACCUAAUAGUAUUCAUUUAUCUACCUAUUUCUCUCUUGUAAUUUAAAAAAAAUUGUACCAGGUGCAGUAGGUCUCCAAUUCCCUAAAAUGAGGUGGUUGGAUUCCAACCGAUACACACACGUGAACCUCAUUGCUGGGUGAACCUGGCAACAUCUUAUCAAGAAAUAAAACCAAAGGCUAAAUCAGCCUUUUUGAAAAUAAAUAUUAUAUUUCGGAAUCAUGUUUCGGAAUUUUUGUAAAUCUUAAUUUAGAAAGUUAGUGGGUCUAAGAUAACUCUUUUAAACCUUAAUACCAAUUUACAUUCCAUUUCCGACUAAAAUUAUUCAGACGUGAAGUAACACAGGCUCUCCUAAAAUUACUAGAGGUAAAAUUGAAUGUGAAAGCAAGACUGAUACGCUUAGUACCUUUUCAUUUAACUCGUCAAGUCCAUGAUGGGCUCCUUCUAAGAAGCUAUCACUCCACAUGUAUUUUAAAAGCGUAUUCCAAAAUAUUAAUACAACCAACUAAACGACAAUGCCUAAAAGUACUAACAAGAGAUUCCAGGCAUCAGGUAUACGAUGUGAAGCCAGUCUGUGGAAGGUUGAGAUACAAUGCUACUACAAUGAUUUAAGUUUUUCUGUCUGAUCGUAUAUCAAUUUAACAAAUCGUUCACCAAGCACAUAAUUGUUUAUUGAGAUAUAAAUAUAAGCUCCACUGUUAAGUCCGUAUUGUAUGUAACUGGUAAUUGAUUCUUCAUACAUAUUUGACGAUAUUUCCAUAAUCCUUCAAUAUCAAUUACAUAUAUAAUACCAACUAUUUGUAAGUGGAUACUUAAUUAAUGACCAGGGUAAGGUCAAAAUAUAAUUAAAAACGAUUUUUUUUAGCCAAGGCAACUCAUUAUUAAACCGAG